Gossypium raimondii (Peruvian cotton) is the source of this 82-nucleotide non-coding RNA. Lineage: Eukaryota; Viridiplantae; Streptophyta; Magnoliopsida; Malvales; Malvaceae. The record is from Rfam.
GUUGCUUUGGCAGAGUGGUUAAGGCGUAUGCCUGCUACGUACAUGGGAUUUUCCUGCGAGAGUUUGAAUCUCGCAGGUGACG